RNAcentral lists this ribosomal RNA (467 nucleotides) under uncultured bacterium. RNAcentral's name for it is "SSU rRNA". It matches the Rfam family "Bacterial small subunit ribosomal RNA", at positions 26 to 523 of the family's 1533-position model. The record is from RNAcentral.
AGAACGAACGCUGGCGGCAGGCUUAACACAUGCAAGUCGAGCGCUCGCAGCAAUGCGGGAGCGGCAGACGGGUGAGUAACGCGUGGGAACAUACCCUUCGGUUCGGAAUAGCUCAGGGAAAACUUGAAUUAAUACCGGAUACGGCCAGAAGUGAAAAUUUCUGGCGAAAGAUUUAUCGCCGAAGGAUUGGCCCGCGUUCGAUUAGCUAGUUGGUGAGGUAACGGCUCACCAAGGCGACGAUCGAUAGCUGGUCUGAGAGGAUGAUCAGCCACAUUGGGACUGAGACACGGCCCAAACUCCUACGGGAGGCAGCAGUGGGGAAUAUUGGACAAUGGGCGCAAGCCUGAUCCAGCCAUGCCGCGUGAGUGAUGACGGCCUUAGGGUUGUAAAGCUCUUUCGCUAGGGACGAUAAGUGACGGUACCUAGACAAGAAGCCCCGGCUAACUUCGCGCCAGCAGCCGCGGUAA